CAGGAUUCUAAUCUAAAUGAUAACUCUUUAAGAAUAAUCUUUCUGCCAGGCGGAGACUUUUGUUCUCUCCAUAGAAAAACGCGGGAUAAAAUGGACAAAAACAAAAGGAGCAUAGCAAUCGGCUGACCAUUUUAAAAGCAAAGUGAGAGGAGAACGGAAUGUUUGGAAAAAGUGGAGGCAGUCUGUUUCCGGUACUGGUCGAGAAAAGACACGAGUUAUAUUGGAGGCAUUUAUCUUCCGACGAAAAGGAGUUAAACAAAAUUUGUUGUUAUGGUAAAGAUUCCGAUUGGUGGACCAGCUGCCUUUAUUUUAAUAAAUUUAUUUUAUGGUUUAACAACCGUAGUGGUCUGGAGUCAUUUGGAGUGGGAUAGACGGACCUUUCCCAUCCCGACUGGCCGUAAUAAACUCGGUCUACCGCGGUGGGGCCAGACCCGUAGUCCCCGAGUUGUACCUAGCUAAUAUUUAAUUUUGUUAAAUGGGUGGAAGUGAAGAACAAUUUUCUGUAGUUAAAAACAUCUCGGUCUUACGACUCUGGGCCGCAUGCAUAAAACUAACAGAGUUGCAGAAUUACCGGAUCUUGUUGACGUC
RNAcentral lists this long non-coding RNA (588 nucleotides) under Androctonus crassicauda. Lineage: Eukaryota; Metazoa; Arthropoda; Arachnida; Scorpiones; Buthidae. The record is from RNAcentral.